This 1291-nucleotide long non-coding RNA is filed under the name Cyanistes caeruleus (blue tit). RNAcentral's name for it is "lncRNA (ENSCCEG00000000362.1)". Lineage: Eukaryota; Metazoa; Chordata; Aves; Passeriformes; Paridae. The record is from RNAcentral.
CUCGCUGCUCUGCACAGCCCCUGCUCGCUCAGUGCUGCGAAGGGGAGCAGCCACCACCACCACGUGGAGUCUUUCUUGGCCAACUUUCACACCCAAAUUUUGGGGUUUUUGUUUCCCUAGACAAGGGGGAGGUCUGGAAGAGGGAGGCCCAUGGAAAGCCUGUGUUUGCUGGGCAGAGCUGUCAGUGUUGUCAGGGUUCUGGGCAAAAGGGUGAGUUUGGCACCAGGGGGUUGGAACUGUUGUGCUAUGUUGAGUUCUUACCUUUGAUGAGUGGUUGGAUAACAGGGUGAUCAAGUAAGAGUGAAAAUGCCGUGGUGUUCAUCAGUGGCUCUCUGUGGGUGCACAGCUUCACACAUAUUUUAACUCUGAGAUGCUGAAAGGCAGGAUUUCCAAGCUCAAAAUUAAAUUUCAGUGUCAGAGGCUGGAGCUGACCUUACCAAACCACGUUUCCCUUCUUCCUGUCCAUGCAAGUGAGAAAUAUGCACGUCUCACAAAUGUGUUUAUCAGCCAGGUUCAUGUUCUUUACUUUUCUGUUUUAUUCUUUGAGCACAGUGUGUCAGCACAGCCUUGCAAAGGGGAAACGUUAAGAUUUAUAUUUUUUAUAGAUAUCUAUAGAUAGGCUUAUAUGUCUCCCUGGCCUGAAAAGCAAAGCAAACAUGACCAACUUACUGUUUUACUCUACAAGGCAGCCCUGCAAAGGUUAUCACUCCAUCCCAUCUCUGACAUAAUACAUUUUCUACUUGUGCAGAGGCAGAUCUGUGGCUCACACCAGCCAGCAGGACCAGGGUGUCACUGCCUUCAGUCCAAUGGCACAAGGAGGAGGAGGUGCUAUGGAAACACUCAAGUAUCAGGGAGCUGCUGGUGUCAGGCACCUGCCCUGCACAGGCAGCCCGUGCCCGUCCUCCAGCCCCGCUCGCCCUGCCCGGGCUGCACAGAGCCCGCGUGCCCUGCCUCGGUGGCACCUGCUGCUGGCUCUGGCACAUUAAAUCUGCAGGUAACAUCACUUCGCUUCCUUCUCUCUUGCUGGCUCUGGACUGCUGAGCAGGGUCCUGCUGUGCCUGGGGGGAGGCAGAGGAGGCUUUGAGCGUGGUUUCUGCAGGGCAGCGAGGUCCCUGCGAGGCAGGAGUAGGGUAGGUCGUGAUCUCUGAGUUUCUGUUCAGUUUCUGUUCUUACUCCAAGGUAUUCCCGGGGUACUUUACCUGGAAUAUCACAGCAACGGAGAACUGGAAGUCAAUUCAUCCCAACAUGGGAAACAAGUGAUUCUAACAAAUUUGUUUUGUCUAAGAGGACC